RNAcentral lists this long non-coding RNA (803 nucleotides) under Mytilus galloprovincialis (Mediterranean mussel). Lineage: Eukaryota; Metazoa; Mollusca; Bivalvia; Mytilida; Mytilidae. The record is from RNAcentral.
GUCCUAUUUUAAGUUUAUCAAGUAAAAGUUUUAUUUUAUCCCAAAAUGAUUUCAGAAAUUUGCAUGUUAAAAAGUAGUGCUCAUAAUCUUCGAUGACAUCACAGAUAUUACAUAGCGGAGUUUUAGUUAUUUUCCAAGAGAAAAGUAAUUGUUUGGUUGGUAAAAUGUAGUGCAGAAAUUUCCAUCUUAACAUUUUGAAUUUAUUAUCUUGUAUAUAAUAAAAGAUAUAAUUUAGCAUUUGUUGUCUUUUGUUUUGUGUUGUUUUCCAAGAUAAAUAUGUUGUCCCAUUUUUGAAAUCCUAUUGGUUUUUCAUAAUAUCUAUUUAAGAGGGAGAUGUAAAUGUCUUUGGAGGAAAUGUUUUUAAGUGAUACCAUUUUUCCUUUUUUAUCUUUAAAUUUAUAUUCGGAGUCAGUGGCAACUUUUGUUUUUAAUGAUUCUUCUUUAGUUAGCUCUUGUAACCACUGUUUUGGUAUUGCUUUCAUUAAUUUAGAAUAUUCUGAAAACCAGUUAGCAUGACAGGAAAGUUUAUCUAAGAUCAUGUUUUGAUUAAAUUUUCCUUUAUUAUCAAUAAUGUCAUUUAAAAAAAAGAAUUUUGCUGUUUAUCCAGUUUUUGAAGAUGAGACAUUUACCGUUUAAUUUGAUAUUUUUAUUGCCCCAUAUAAGCUGCUGUCUUAUUUGUUUAUAUGAUAGAUGAUCCAAUUCCUUUUCAGAUUAUUGUAUUUAUCCAUGAUUUGAUUAUUCUUAAGUAAAAUUGUGGAAUUAGUUCUUUCAGUUUAUAGACCAAAUUAAUAUUGUUGAAAUUC